GAAAAGUAUAGGGUGAAUAUCUCCUGGGCCACACCAUGAGCUAUGGCAAGUUCAGUUGGAGAUUUGGUUCCUUAUGAACUGCAGUUCGUCUGAAUUUGAAUUGAUCAGGUGAUCUUCAAAUUGCCAAACUCUGAGCCGAAAUGUAGCUGAAUCACCAACCUAAGGCAUCGCACAAUGGAUGAACGUGUUCGUUUUGAUUUGUGAUUUGGAAUUCUGCCC
Molecule: non-coding RNA, 219 nt
Organism: Pelobates cultripes (western spadefoot toad)
Lineage: Eukaryota; Metazoa; Chordata; Amphibia; Anura; Pelobatidae
Source: the annotation of a GenBank genome assembly